GAUGAACGCUGGCGGCGUGCCUAAUACAUGCAAGUCGAGCGAACAGACGAGGAGCUUGCUCCUCUGACGUUAGCGGCGGACGGGUGAGUAACACGUGGAUAACCUACCUAUAAGACUGGGAUAACUUCGGGAAACCGGAGCUAAUACCGGAUAAUAUAUUGAACCGCAUGGUUCAAUAGUGAAAGACGCUUUUGCUGUCACUUAUAGAUGGAUCCGCGCCGCAUUAGCUAGUUGGUAAGGUAACGGCUUACCAAGGCAACGAUGCGUAGCCGACCUGAGAGGGUGAUCGGCCACACUGGAACUGAGACACGGUCCAGACUCCUACGGGAGGCAGCAGUAGGGAAUCUUCCGCAAUGGGCGAAAGCUUGACGGAGCAACGCCGCGUGAGUGAUGAAGGUCUUCGGAUCGUAAAACUCUGUUAUUAGGGAAGAACAAAUGUGUAAGUAACUAUGCACGUCUUGACGGUACCUAAUCAGAAAGCCACGGCUAACUACGUG
Molecule: ribosomal RNA, 497 nt
Filed under: uncultured bacterium
Lineage: Bacteria
Description: partial 16S ribosomal RNA
Rfam family: Bacterial small subunit ribosomal RNA
Source: RNAcentral